CCUACGGGAGGCUGCAGUGGGGAAUAUUGCACAAUGGGCGCAAGCCUGAUGCAGCCAUGCCGCGUGUGUGAAGAAGGCCUUCGGGCUGUAAAGCACUUUCAGCGGGGAGGAAGGCGGUGAGGUUAAUAACCUCAUCGAUUGACGUUACCCGCAGAAGAAGCACCGGCUAACUCCGUGCCAGCAGCCGCGGUAAUACGGAGGGUGCAAGCGUUAAUCGGAAUUACUGGGCGUAAAGCGCACGCAGGCGGUCUGUCAAGUCGGAUGUGAGAUCCCCGGGCUCAACCUGGGAACUGCAUUCGAAACUGGCAGGCUAGAGUCUUGUAGAGGGGGGUAGAAUUCCAGGUGUAGCGGUGAAAUGCGUAGAGAUCUGGAGGAAUACCGGUGGCGAAGGCGGCCCCCUGGACAAAGACUGACGCUCAGGUGCGAAAGCGUGGGGAGCAAACAGGAUUAGAUACCCGGGUAGUC
Molecule: ribosomal RNA, 465 nt
Filed under: uncultured Klebsiella sp.
Lineage: Bacteria; Pseudomonadati; Pseudomonadota; Gammaproteobacteria; Enterobacterales; Enterobacteriaceae
Description: bacterial SSU rRNA
Rfam family: Bacterial small subunit ribosomal RNA
Source: RNAcentral